This 993-nucleotide unclassified non-coding RNA is filed under the name Hevea brasiliensis (rubber tree). The record is from RNAcentral. Lineage: Eukaryota; Viridiplantae; Streptophyta; Magnoliopsida; Malpighiales; Euphorbiaceae.
UGCAAGAUUAUGAAGCUAUCCCUGCAUUAGCAGCAGUUCUAAAUGAUCUUUCCUUGCAUCCAAUUGUUCGUCAUGAGGCUGCAGAAGCUCUUGGUGCAAUUGGAUUAGAGAGCAGUGUUCCUCUUUUGAAGAAUAGUUUGUCUGUAGAUCCAGCUCAGGAGGUUAGAGAAACUUGUGAACUGGCUCUCAAGCGAAUUGAGGAAAUGAAUGCUACAGGCACUUGUGAUGAAUCAUCUACAACUGAAAAAUCACCCUUUAUGUCAGUUGACCCAGCUGCUGCGGCUGCUUCUUGUUUUUCUGUUGUUAUGCUGAGGGAAGCUCUCUUGGAUGAAGAAAAGGGCAUGUAUGAGCGCUAUGCUGCUCUUUUUGCACUUAGAAAUCAUGGUGGAGAAGAAGCUGUUUCUGCUAUAAUUGAGUCUUUGGGUGGAAAAAGUGCUUUGCUUAAGCAUGAGGUUGCUUAUGUUUUGGGCCAGUUGCAGAACAAAGCUGCUUCAGCUGCACUUAGCAGAAUACUUAAGGAUGUAAAUGAGCAUCCAAUGGUUAGANNNNNNNCAUGAGGCUGCUGAAGCUCUUGGUUCUAUUGCUGAUGAACAAAGUAUUGCACUUCUUGAGGAAUUUUUGAAGGAUCCUGAGCCUAUUGUAUCACAAAGCUGUGAAGUUGCCCUGAGCAUGCUAGAAUAUGAAAGAUCAGGAAAAUCAUUUGAGUACUUAUUUAUGCAAGAUCCUUUAGCACAAGCAUAAAUGGAUCAUCCAUCUUCUGGAAACUCCCUUAACAGAUGUUCAAGUUUCAAAUCAUCUCAUCAACGCAUUCCUUGUGAAGGCAGUGUUUGUGGAAGAGAGUGUCAGCAGAAUAACAGAAGAUAACUAGGAGAGAAUUAUAUACUCAGAAAUUCAGAACUAGUCUUUUUCAAGCUGUACUAAUGUAAUUCUGUUGGUGACAUUGGAUCUAAUUGUGGUAAAUUUUCCCAUAACUAUUGGAUUCUUAACUUUGCG